This is a long non-coding RNA of Sesamum indicum (sesame), 661 nucleotides long. RefSeq lists it as uncharacterized. The record is from RefSeq and is a predicted model, not a curated record. NCBI's taxonomy places the organism in Eukaryota, Viridiplantae, Streptophyta, Magnoliopsida, Lamiales, Pedaliaceae.
GGCGUGCUCACAGUAGUUCGUCCCUUCGGGGACAUCCGAUAAAAUUGGAACGAUACAGAGAAGAUUAGCAUGGCCCCUGCGCAAGGAUGACACGCAUAAAUCGAGAAAUGGUCCAAAUUUUUUUUGUGUUUUUUUCCCAAAAUUUUCAACUAGAACGCUUGAUGUUUUCAGGAUUGAAGUGCUUCAGGGAUUGUUCCUUCUGAGUUCUGAUUCUUCGGUCAUUUCUGAGCUGAUGAAGUAUAUAGAUAGUUUGAUAUCAGUAUUCGAUGUGACGAACAAAGGAGGAUUAGGCCUGGGAGUGGGAGAUGGAGCUGGUGUCAAUGGGGAGCCGAAAUUCCCUUCUGGAGAAAACAGAAGUUCGGAACAUUGUUAAUAAUUUCGGAUUCUAGGUUAAUGUGGCUCCGUGUAUCUCUGACACUCGUGAGACUGGCAAAAUAGGUAAGAAACUAUUUCAUAAAGUGCGUAGUUGAUUUGGAGAGAUGGGGUAAUGUAUUUCAGAAUGAGAAGGUGAUGCAUUCUUAAGUGCCAGACAUUAUAUAUAGUUCAUUGGGUUUUUAAUGCUUGAAGCAUGUCGAUGUAGAAGUAUAAUGACGGUAAUACGGCAUAAUUUUUCAUAUAUGUUUUUGUUGGGAACAUUGAGUAGCAUGGCAUUUUGAAAUUA